GAUGAAGAACGCAGCGAAAUGCGAUACGUAAUGGGAAUUGCAGAAUUCAGUGAAUCAUCGAAUCUUUGAACGCAUAUUGCGCUCUUUGGUAUUCCGAAGAGCAUGCUUGUUUGAGUAUCAGUAAACACCUCAAAGCUUUUGGAUUUUUUAAUCGAAAAGCUUUGGACUUGAGCAAUCCCAACACCAAUCUUUUUGAGAUCGGUGGCGGGUUGCUUGAAAUGCAGGUGCAGCUGGACAUUCUCCUGAGCUAAAAGCAUAUUCAUUUAGUCCCGUCAAACGGAUUAUUACUUUUGCUGCAGCUAACAUAAAGGGAGUUUGACCGUAUUGGCUGACUGAUGCAGGAUUUCACAAGGGUCGGCAACGAUUCUUGUUAAACUCGAUCUCAAAUCAAGUAAGACUACCCGCUGAACUUAAGCAUAUCAAUAAGCGGAGGA
This 434-nucleotide unclassified non-coding RNA is filed under the name soil metagenome. RNAcentral describes it as "partial contains 5.8S ribosomal RNA, internal transcribed spacer 2, and large subunit ribosomal RNA". The stretch from base 1 to 120 matches the Rfam family "5.8S ribosomal RNA", at positions 35 to 154 of the family's 154-position model. The record is from RNAcentral.